GCGCUCGUAGCUCAGCUGGAUAGAGUGUCUGACUACGAAUCAGAAGGUCGGGGGUUCGAGUCCCUCCGGGCGCGCCA
Molecule: transfer RNA, 77 nt
Filed under: Bacillota bacterium
Lineage: Bacteria; Bacillati; Bacillota
Description: Firmicutes bacterium (gut metagenome) tRNA-Arg
Rfam family: tRNA
About the family: Transfer RNA (tRNA) molecules are approximately 80 nucleotides in length.
Source: RNAcentral